This 171-nucleotide ribosomal RNA is filed under the name uncultured bacterium. Its description in RNAcentral is "partial 16S ribosomal RNA". It matches the Rfam family "Bacterial small subunit ribosomal RNA", at positions 338 to 524 of the family's 1533-position model. The record is from RNAcentral.
CCUACGGGAGGCAGCAGCGAGGAAUCUUGGGCAAUGGGCGAAAGCCUGACCCAGCGACGCCGCGUGAGGGAUGAAGGCCUUCGGGUCGUAAACCUCUUUUGUGAGGGAAGAAGUUCUGACGGUACCUCACGAAUAAGCCACGGCUAACUACGUGCCAGCAGCCGCGGUAAU